Molecule: non-coding RNA, 1520 nt
Organism: Tetranychus urticae (two-spotted spider mite)
Lineage: Eukaryota; Metazoa; Arthropoda; Arachnida; Trombidiformes; Tetranychidae
Source: RefSeq, a predicted model, not a curated record
AAAAUUGAUUUCAAUUAAAGUGAUUUGAAAACAGCUUACUCCGCCUUUACUAACACCUUUAGCCGUUUUUGCUCUUAGCCACUUUUCGCUGUUUAUGGUUUUUCCAGGGUCGACAUUUAAGUGCAAAUCAAUCAAAAGGACUUAACGGAGGCACCAGUUGAUCAUGGCUGAAUACAACGAUAAAAUUAAAGAAUUUUGGUCUCAAGGCUAUACCGUGUUACCUGAUUUUCUGUCCCCAUCAGAAGUUGACAAUGUUUUAAAAGAGACUAAACAAAUUGUUGAUACUCUGGACCUCGAUGAACACCGGAAUGUUUUCAAAAUUGGAAAAAGUAAACAAGGUGAUGACUACUUUCUUGACUCAAGUGAUAAAAUAUCGUUCUUUUUCGAGCAGAAAGCUAUUGAUUCUGACGGAAACCUUACAUGCCCUCACAGCCAGUGUUUAAACAAAAUAGGACAUGCUUUACAUGCAUUGAAUCCUGUUUUCAAAGCAAUUACGUUUGAUGAUCGAAUUAAAAGCAUCCUAAAAACCUUAGGAUGCGUUGAACCCCAUGUUAUCCAGAGUAUGGUCAUUUUCAAACACCCUCAUAUUGGUGAUGAGGUUUCACCUCACAAAGAUGCAGAAUUCCUGUACACUGAUCCAGUCGAUAAGCUUACGGGAUUCUGGCUUGCUCUUGAGGACGUUACUAUUGAAAAUGGGUGUCUUUGGUUCAUUCCAGGUUCACACAAGGAGCCUGUAACACAAAGAUUUGUUAGAAACAAGGAUGAUUCAGGACCGAGAGCAUCAUUCAAUGUUCCUAAGGCUAAAUAUGAUGAUUCAAAGUUCGUUCCUCUCAAAGUUUCCAAGGGAUCACUAGUACUUCUCCAUGGUUUAGUUGUUCAUAAAAGUGGGUCUAAUACAUCACUAUCACCUAGACCUGUUUACACAUUUCAUGUUGUCGAUUUUCAUAAAACACAAUGGUCACCAGAUAACUGGCUUCAACCUACAGAAAAGCUUCCUUUUUGUCGAGUCUAUUGAUACAUAGAAGAAUGAAGGCGUAUAUCAAUUUUUUAUUAUAAAUUCUUUAAAAUUGAGUUUGUUAGUCUCAAUAGAUUCAGAGAUUAACCCAAUAUACAUAUGCAUUUACAAGAUUAAUUUUUAAGAUAUAUUUUUCUAAUCCAUCAUAUGAAAACUCUAAAAGCAUUAACACAGUUUAGUUUCUUAGUAUCGUGAUAUUAUGCUGUGAAAGCUACAAUAAACGUUUAAAGUUGGACUGUUGCAUUGUUUAGUAUCUGAAACUUGAAUUUCAAGAAAUACAUCGGACUGAUGGCUGUAGAGUAAAUUAUUAAUAUACUUUAAUGAAAGGAGCUUCUUUCGUAGGUUGAUUCCAGUUGUCUGAUGCCCAUUUUGUGUCAUGUAAAUCGACUGCAUGGAAAGUGUAAGCUGGUCGAGGUUUGUUUGAAGUAUUGGCUUCACUUUUAUGAACAACUUGUCCAUGGAGGAUCACUAAAGAUCCCUUUGAAACUGGAACAGCUUUAUAUUU